CCUUAGUAACUGCGAGUGAAGCGGCAAAAGCUCAAAUUUGAAAUCGGGGUCCUUUGCGGGCUUCGAGUUGUAAUUUGGAGGGAUAACUUCGGUACGGACUACAUCGUAAGUUCCUUGGAACAGGACGUCAUAGAGGGUGAGAAUCCCGUGUCUUGGUGCCUGGCCGUGCCAUGUGAAGUGUCUCCGACGAGUCGAGUUGUUUGGGAAUGCAGCUCAAAAUGGGUGGUAAAUUUCAUCUAAAGCUAAAUAUUGGCGAGAGACCGAUAGCGCACAAGUAGAGUGAUCGAAAGAUGAAAAGCACUUUGAAAAGAGAGUUAAAAAGUACGUGAAAUUGUUGAAAGGGAAGCGCUUGCGACCAGACUCGAUCUUUGGUGAUCAGCCGGGCUUCUGUCCGGUGCCCUUGCCAUUGAUUGGGCCAGCAUCGGUUCCGACGGUGGGAUAAAAGGAGGAGGAAUGUGGCUCCCUUCGGGGAGUGUUAUAGCCUCCUUCACAAUGCCACCAGUUGGGACCGAGGACCGCGCUUCGGCUAGGAUGCUGGCGUAAUGGUCUUAAGCGACCCGUCUUGAAACACGGACCAAGGAGUCUAACAUCUAUGCGAGUGUUCGGGUGGAAAACCCUUGCGCGUAAUGAAAGUGAACGGAGGUGUGAACCCUUUACCGGGUGCAACAUCGACCGGUCCUGAUGUCUUCGGAAGGAUCUGAGUAAGAGCAUAGCUGUUGGGACCCGAAAGAUGGUGAACUAUGCCUGAAUAGGGUGAAGCCAGAGGAAACUCUGGUGGAGGCUCGCAGCGGUUCUGACGUGCAA
This 804-nucleotide ribosomal RNA is filed under the name Tricharina aethiopica. RNAcentral describes it as "LSU rRNA". It matches the Rfam family "Eukaryotic large subunit ribosomal RNA", at positions 78 to 896 of the family's 3401-position model. The record is from RNAcentral. Lineage: Eukaryota; Fungi; Ascomycota; Pezizomycetes; Pezizales; Pyronemataceae.